This 151-nucleotide ribosomal RNA is filed under the name Ochrolechia juvenalis. Its description in RNAcentral is "5.8S ribosomal RNA". It matches the Rfam family "5.8S ribosomal RNA". Rfam says of the family: 5.8S ribosomal RNA (5.8S rRNA) is a component of the large subunit of the eukaryotic ribosome. It is transcribed by RNA polymerase I as part of the 45S precursor that also contains 18S and 28S rRNA. Lineage: Eukaryota; Fungi; Ascomycota; Lecanoromycetes; Pertusariales; Ochrolechiaceae. The record is from RNAcentral.
CUUUCAACAACGGAUCUCUUGGUUCUGGCAUCGAUGAAGAACGCAGCGAAAUGCGAUAAGUAAUGUGAAUUGCAGAAUUCAGUGAAUCAUCGAAUCUUUGAACGCACAUUGCACCCUCUGGUAUUCCGGAGGGUAUGCCUGUUCGAGCGUC